This 575-nucleotide ribosomal RNA is filed under the name uncultured rumen bacterium. RNAcentral describes it as "bacterial SSU rRNA". It matches the Rfam family "Bacterial small subunit ribosomal RNA", at positions 347 to 916 of the family's 1533-position model. The record is from RNAcentral.
GGCAGCAGCUAAGAAUAUUCCGCAAUGGACGAAAGUCUGACGGAGCGACGCCGCGUGGAUGAUGAAGGCCGGAAGGUUGUAAAAUCCUUUUAUGACUGAGGAAUAAGGAAGUUGAGAGAAACGGCUUCUGGUGACUGUAGGUCAUGAAUAAGCAACGGCUAAUUACGUGCCAGCAGCCGCGGUAACACGUAAGUUGCGAGCGUUGUUCGGAAUUAUUGGGCGUAAAGGGCAUGUAGGCGGUUCUGCAAGUCUGGUGUGAAAUACCGGGGCUCAACCCCGGAACUGCGUUGGAAACUGCAGAACUUGAGUCGCUGAGGGGCAGCCAGAAUUCCAGGUGUAGGGGUGAAAUCUGUAGAUAUCUGGAAGAAUACCAAUGGCGAAGGCAGGCUGCCAGCAGAUGACUGACGCUGAGGUGCGAAGGUGCGGGGAGCAAACAGGAUUAGAUACCCUGGUAGUCCGCGCAGUCAACUAUGUACACUAGGUGUCCGUUCAUGAGAAUGGGUGCCGAAGCAAACGCGAUAAGUGUACCGCCUGGGGAGUAUGCCCGCAAGGGUGAAACUCAAAGGAAUUGACGG